Molecule: unclassified non-coding RNA, 315 nt
Filed under: air metagenome
Description: partial contains small subunit ribosomal RNA, internal transcribed spacer 1, and 5.8S ribosomal RNA
Rfam family: Eukaryotic small subunit ribosomal RNA (bases 1-46)
Source: RNAcentral
AAGUCGUAACAAGGUUUCCGUAGGUGAACCUGCGGAAGGAUCAUUAAUGAAUAUCUAUGGCGUGGUUGUAGCUGGCUUCUAGGAGCAUGUGCACAUCCGUCAUUUUUAUCUUUCCACCUGUGCACUUAAUGUAGAUCUGGAUAACUAUCGCUCUCACGAGCGGAAGCAAGGAUUGCUGUGUCGCAAGGCCCGGCUCUCUUUGAAUUUCCAGGUCUAUGUCUUUACAAACCCCAAUUGAAUGAUAAUGAAUGUAGUCAAUGGGCUCUAAGCCUAUAAAACAAAAUACAACUUUCAGCAACGGAUCUCUUGGCUCUC